This 503-nucleotide ribosomal RNA is filed under the name uncultured bacterium. RNAcentral describes it as "partial 16S ribosomal RNA". It matches the Rfam family "Bacterial small subunit ribosomal RNA", at positions 30 to 523 of the family's 1533-position model. The record is from RNAcentral.
AUUGAACGCUGGCGGCAGGCUUAACACAUGCAAGUCGAGCGGGGUGAUGGUGCUUGCACUAUCACUUAGCGGCGGACGGGUGAGUAAUGCUUAGGAAUCUGCCUAUUAGUGGGGGACAACAUCUCGAAAGGGACGCUAAUACCGCAUACGUCCUACGGGAGAAAGCAGGGGAUCACUUGUGACCUUGCGCUAAUAGAUGAGCCUAAGUCGGAUUAGCCAGUUGGUGGGGUAAAGGCCUACCAAGGCGACGAUCUGUAGCGGGUCUGAGAGGAUGAUCCGCCACACUGGGACUGAGACACGGCCCAGACUCCUACGGGAGGCAGCAGUGGGGAAUAUUGGACAAUGGGGGGAACCCUGAUCCAGCCAUACCGCGUGUGUGAAGAAGGCCUUAUGGUUGUAAAGCACUUUAAGCGAGGAGGAGGCUCUUUUGGUUAAUACCCAAGAUGAGUGGACGUUACUCGCAGAAUAAGCACCGGCUAACUACGUGCCAGCCGCCGCUGUAA